GUUGGAAAGAUGCAGCUAAUCUGCUUGUCUUUAAAAGAUUUUUAGCUAGUGCUUCUUUGUUACUUUUUCUUCACAAACUCUGUUUGGUCUGUAAUCGUUGGGAUGCAUCAUAGGAUGGUGCUUUGCUUUCAAUUCUGUUGUCAAUUACAAAUGCUAGACAGUUUGCAUCAACAUGACACCUAAUAUCCCAAAAUUUUAUUGCUUGCCAAUUGGUGUGUUGUGUUUAUUUUCUUAUAGCACAAAGGAGUUUCAAG
Molecule: unclassified non-coding RNA, 254 nt
Filed under: Hevea brasiliensis (rubber tree)
Lineage: Eukaryota; Viridiplantae; Streptophyta; Magnoliopsida; Malpighiales; Euphorbiaceae
Source: RNAcentral